UCGAGGAUCUUCGCCAAUGGGCGAAAGCCUGAACGAGCGAUGCCGCGUGUGCGAUGAAGGCCUUCGGGUUGUAAAGCACGAAAGUGAAGAGAAAGGGAAACUUGAUCGAUUCACAGUAAGCUCGGGCUAAGUUCGUGCCAGCAGCCGCGGUAAGACGAACCGAGCGAACGUUGUUCGGAAUCACUGGGCUUAAAGGGCGCGUAGGCGGGUGCUCAAGUCUGUGGUGAAAUCCUCCAGCUUAACUGGAGAACUGCCAUGGAUACUGGGUGUCUCGAGGAAUGUAGGGGUAUGCGGAACGAUUGGUGGAGCGGUGAAAUGCGUUGAUAUCAAUCGGAACUCCGGUGGCGAAGGCGGCAUACUGGACAUUUUCUGACGCUGAGGCGCGAAAGCUAGGGGAGCAAACGGG
RNAcentral lists this ribosomal RNA (406 nucleotides) under uncultured bacterium. RNAcentral's name for it is "bacterial SSU rRNA". It matches the Rfam family "Bacterial small subunit ribosomal RNA", at positions 355 to 776 of the family's 1533-position model. The record is from RNAcentral.